Molecule: antisense RNA, 69 nt
Filed under: Actinobacteria bacterium OK074
Lineage: Bacteria; Bacillati; Actinomycetota; Actinomycetes
Description: ASpks TB sRNA
Rfam family: ASpks TB sRNA
Source: Rfam by way of RNAcentral
CUUCAACGAGCCGAGCAGCAGCGGUUGUUGACGGCCCUGGCCGUAGGUGGCGAGGAGGGCCUGGGCCUC